AGUGAACGCUGGCGGUAGGCCUAACACAUGCAAGUCGAACGGCAGCACAGUAAGAGCUUGCUCUUACGGGUGGCGAGUGGCGGACGGGUGAGGAAUACAUCGGAAUCUACUUUUUCGUGGGGGAUAACGUAGGGAAACUUAAGCUCAUACCGCAUACGCCCUACGGGUGAAAGCAGGGGAUCUUCGGACCUUGCGCGAUUGAAUGAGCCGAUGUCGGAUUAGCUAGUUGGCGGGGUAAAGGCCCACCCAGGCGGCGAUCCGUAGCUGGUCUGAGAGGAUGAUCAGCCACACUGGAGCUGAGACACGGUCCAGACUCCUACGGGAGGCAGCAGUGUGGAAUAUUGGACAAUGGGCGCAAGCCUGAUCCAGCCAUACCGCGUGGGUGAAGAAGGCCUUCGGGUUGUAAAGCCCUUUUGUUGGGAAAGAAAAGCAGCAGGUUAAUACCCCGCUGUUCUGACGGUACCCAAAGAAUAAGCACCGGCUAACUUCGUG
This 492-nucleotide ribosomal RNA is filed under the name uncultured bacterium. Its description in RNAcentral is "partial 16S ribosomal RNA". It matches the Rfam family "Bacterial small subunit ribosomal RNA", at positions 29 to 507 of the family's 1533-position model. The record is from RNAcentral.